This 265-nucleotide ribosomal RNA is filed under the name uncultured prokaryote. Its description in RNAcentral is "partial 16S ribosomal RNA". It matches the Rfam family "Bacterial small subunit ribosomal RNA", at positions 524 to 788 of the family's 1533-position model. The record is from RNAcentral.
UACGGAGGAUCCGAGCGUUAUCCGGAUUUAUUGGGUUUAAAGGGUGCGCAGGCGGGGGAUUAAGUCGGCGGUGAAAUUUUGCAGCUCAACCGUAACAGUGCCAUUGAUACUGGUUUCCUUGAGUGUGGAUGAAGUAGGCGGAAUUUGUGGUGUAGCGGUGAAAUGCAUAGAUAUCACGAGGAACUCCGAUUGCGCAGGCAGCUUACUAAACUACUACUGACGCUCAGGCACGAAGGCGUGGGGAUCAAACAGGAUUAGAUACCCU